RNAcentral lists this ribosomal RNA (479 nucleotides) under uncultured bacterium. RNAcentral describes it as "bacterial SSU rRNA". It matches the Rfam family "Bacterial small subunit ribosomal RNA", at positions 28 to 524 of the family's 1533-position model. The record is from RNAcentral.
GACGAACGCUGGCGGCGUGCCUAACACAUGCAAGUCGAACGAGGUCCAUCCUUCGGGAGAAGACCUAGUGGCGAACGGGUGAGUAACACGUGAAGAACCUGCCCCGAAGACCGGGAUAACCCUCCGAAAGGAGAGCCAAUACCGGAUACCCCCACCGAACCGCAUGGUUUGGUGAGGAAAUGGAUUCCGCUUCGGGAGGGCUUCGCGGCCUAUCAGCUAGUUGGUGGGUAACGGCCCACCAAGGCAUCGACGGGUAGCUGGUCUGAGAGGACGAUCAGCCACACUGGGACUGAGACACGGCCCAGACUCCUACGGGAGGCAGCAGUGGGGAAUCUUGCGCAAUGGGCGAAAGCCUGACGCAGCAACGCCGCGUGGGGGAUGAAGGCUCUCGGGUUGUAAACCCCUUUCAGCAGGGACGAAUCAAGACGGUAACCUGCAGAAGAAGCCCCGGCUAACUACGUGCCAGCAGCCGCGGUAAU